AGCGAACGCUGGCGGCAGGCCUAACACGUGCAAGUCGAACGGAUCCUUCGGGAUUAGUGGCGGACGGGUGAGUAACACGUGGGAACGUGCCCUUUGGUUCGGAACAACUCAGGGAAACUUGAGCUAAUACCGGAUGUGCCCUUCGGGGGAAAGAUUUAUCGCCAUUGGAGCGGCCCGCGUCUGAUUAGCUAGUUGGUGGGGUAAAGGCCCACCAAGGCGACGAUCAGUAGCUGGUCUGAGAGGAUGAUCAGCCACAUUGGGACUGAGACACGGCCCAAACUCCUACGGGAGGCAGCAGUGGGGAAUCUUGCGCAAUGGGCGAAAGCCUGACGCAGCCAUGCCGCGUGAAUGAUGAAGGUCUUAGGAUUGUAAAAUUCUUUCACCGGGGACGAUAAUGACGGUACCCGGAGAAGAAGCCCCGGCUAACUUCGUGCCAGCCGCCGCCGCAG
RNAcentral lists this ribosomal RNA (449 nucleotides) under uncultured bacterium. RNAcentral's name for it is "partial 16S ribosomal RNA". It matches the Rfam family "Bacterial small subunit ribosomal RNA", at positions 29 to 523 of the family's 1533-position model. The record is from RNAcentral.